Molecule: ribosomal RNA, 691 nt
Filed under: uncultured Bacteroidales bacterium
Lineage: Bacteria; Pseudomonadati; Bacteroidota; Bacteroidia; Bacteroidales
Description: bacterial SSU rRNA
Rfam family: Bacterial small subunit ribosomal RNA
Source: RNAcentral
GGGCAGCAUGGUCUUAGCUUGCUAAGGCCGAUGGCGACCGGCGCACGGGUGAGUAACACGUAUCCAACCUGCCGUCUACUCUUGGACAGCCUUCUGAAAGGAAGAUUAAUACAAGAUGGCAUCAUGAGUCCGCAUGUUCACAUGAUUAAAGGUAUUCCGGUAGACGAUGGGGAUGCGUUCCAUUAGAUAGUAGGCGGGGUAACGGCCCACCUAGUCUUCGAUGGAUAGGGGUUCUGAGAGGAAGGUCCCCCACAUUGGAACUGAGACACGGUCCAAACUCCUACGGGAGGCAGCAGUGAGGAAUAUUGGUCAAUGGGCGAGAGCCUGAACCAGCCAAGUAGCGUGAAGGAUGACUGCCCUAUGGGUUGUAAACUUCUUUUAUAAAGGAAUAAAGUCGGGUAUGGAUACCCGUUUGCAUGUACUUUAUGAAUAAGGAUCGGCUAACUCCGUGCCAGCAGCCGCGGUAAUACGGAGGAUCCGAGCGUUAUCCGGAUUUAUUGGGUUUAAAGGGAGCGUAGAUGGAUGUUUAAGUCAGUUGUGAAAGUUUGCGGCUCAACCGUAAAAUUGCAGUUGAUACUGGAUAUCUUGAGUGCAGUUGAGGCAGGCGGAAUUCGUGGUGUAGCGGUGAAAUGCUUAGAUAUCACGAAGAACUCCGAUUGCGAAGGCAGCCUGCUAAGCUGCAACUGACAUU